Molecule: ribosomal RNA, 332 nt
Filed under: uncultured bacterium
Lineage: Bacteria
Description: bacterial SSU rRNA
Rfam family: Bacterial small subunit ribosomal RNA
Source: RNAcentral
GAUGAACGCUAGCGACAGGCUUAACACAUGCAAGUCGAGCGAGCGGAACCAACAGAUUUACUUCGGUAAUGACGUUGGGAAAGCGAGCGGCGGAUGGGUGAGUAACACGUGGGGAACCUGCCCCUAAGUCUGGGAUACCAUUUGGAGACAGGUGCUAAUACCGGAUAAUAAAGCAGAUCGCAUGAUCAGCUUUUGAAAGGCGGCGUAAGCUGUCGCUAAGGGAUGGCCCCGCGGUGCAUUAGCUAGUUGGUAAGGUAACGGCUUACCAAGGCGACGAUCAGUAGCCGACCUGAGAGGGUGACCGGCCACAUUGGGACUGAGACACGGCCCAA